This 224-nucleotide ribosomal RNA is filed under the name Mantidactylus sp. 67 MV-2020. Its description in RNAcentral is "partial 16S ribosomal RNA". The record is from RNAcentral. Lineage: Eukaryota; Metazoa; Chordata; Amphibia; Anura; Mantellidae.
GGUUCUACUGUCUCCUUUCUCUAAUCAGUGAAACUAAUCUCCCCGUGAAGAAGCGGGGAUACUACUAUAAGACGAGAAGACCCCAUGGAGCUUUAAACCCAACUACAGCCCUACUUUCCACACCCACUCAACCAACAGGGCCCUGUACGCUUGGUUUUAGGUUGGGGCGACCACGGAGUAAAAUUAAACCUCCACGAUGAACGGGAAUUCCCUCUUAUCUAAGA